RNAcentral lists this long non-coding RNA (3807 nucleotides) under Heterocephalus glaber (naked mole-rat). Its description in RNAcentral is "lncRNA (ENSHGLG00000040993.1)". Lineage: Eukaryota; Metazoa; Chordata; Mammalia; Rodentia; Bathyergidae. The record is from RNAcentral.
AGACUGGAAAGUGGAUCCAAAGCCCAUGGUGAGAAUCCCUGUAGGGAGAGCUGAGCAUGCACCUCCACCAUCCUUCCACAGCAGUAGCAAAGAGUCAGAGAAUUACUUGGACCACCUGACGGGGAGUUUGAGGAGCAGAGAGAAUGGUACCUGCAUUCUCCUGGGUGAGUCCGAUGGUGAGCUUAUGGUGCCUUGCAGGCACUGCAUGUGGGAAGUGUGGUGUUCUGAGGGUCAUUUGUAGACAGAAUGGAUGCUCUCAAUUUCUAAGUUCUUCUGCCUGUGAGACCUCCUGAGGGAAGAGUACUGACAGCAUCUGUGGCAGGCUACCAAGAGGUAGGCACGGAGAAGUUAAUCGCAGGCAGCCUGGCCAGGAAGCCCUAGUGAGUCCAUGUCAGGUAUCCUCACAGACACGAAUAUCCAAAGAACUCCUUUGAGGAGGAUUUUUUCUUACCUCUUUAUCUCUUUUCUUGCUUUCCAACCCUGCAGGAUUCAUAAAAGAUCACAGUGAAAGGGGAUAAAUAUAAGAGUUGGGAGGAAUUGAGAAAAAAAGGGUAGCCAUAUUCUCCUUCCCCUCUAUAGGUUUUACAAUCAGGGCCAAGCAAGGAAUUAGAUCUCCAAGCUUCAGUGGGAGGCUAAGCUAUGGUUUGUACUGCCUGAGAAAUGAGAUGCCUUGCUAAUAACUGAGAAUGAAUGCGAAACACAGCAUCCACCCAAGAUCUCAUGCUAGGACAGAAGAGAAUGAUUAAGAGUACAGGUUUACUAGUCAGUGGUGAGAAAGAAUGAAAUGGAGUUAACACAAUGAACUGGCUACUUGAGGACUCAGUUCUUUCCAGAUUUUCACCUCAGGCUGGUCUUCUACUGAUGUCUGGGAAAGAACUACUUUCUCAGUUACUGUCAUGCUGUGGCUCACCUUUAGCUCUGAUGUGGAAGGGAUUGGUUAAGGGUUAUUCUUCUCCUGGGAGACUGUCCAGAAUUGUGUGGUGUUUUGUCUUUGCGUGAACUGAAAAUAGAAUUCUUUUGAGCAUUAGGUGGAGUAGAUUAUCAGCGAGAAGGUGAAAUUUUUUUUUUCAGUUUUGCUACCCAAAUUGUGCCUCUGCAAUGGGAGACAACUACACUUGUCUGAGCAGAGCCACUCACUGGGAUACUGAGUCUGCUGCGGAUGCAGGACUUGGACUUUCCAAGAAAUCCAGCUUUAAAAUCUUUCUUAAUUCAAAGGGGGAAAAAAGCCCAUGUCAAUUGACUUAUGUGUUUGGGAAUCAUUUUCUGUGAUGUGGCUUAUCAACUUAAAAUUUAAGUGAGAUAAAUUCAAAUUAACUAUAUUUCACUCCUUUGAGUGAUGAUGACGAAGAUCAGUGUAGAUUGCCUUUUUAAGUUAGGAAGAAAAUUGUGUUUCAGCUUGAACCAUAUCACAUUGCUAUUACUCAACCCCUUUGUUAUAUUUAACCAUUUUAAAAAGGAAAAUAUCAAUUUUGUGUGGUUCAGCCUAAUAUUGAUGUUCUAAAGAUAUUUCUGGUAUUUUCUUGCUGUAAAUACUCUUCUAUUUGAAUAAUAAUAUGUUAGUCUAGGCCUUUCUUUUUUAUUUUUUUAAAAUAACUUCAUUAUCAAACACACACACAUACAAAAGAUUGAAACCAUUCAAAGAAGAACAAUGCAAGGGGAAAAAACCCACAAUAAUAUUCAAACACAGUAGAAUUCAACCAAAACAAAUAGGUCUUUCAUUUUUGAUUCCUUUCCCUCCCUCCCUCCCUCCCUUCCUUCUUUCUUUUGCAUUACUGAGGAUUGAACCCAGAACCUUUGCUCUGAGCUACAUGCCCAGCCCCCAGGGUUUUUUACUAUUUGAUUUUUUUUCUUAAAUUCUUUUAUUGGUGCAUUUUAGGUACACAACACAAUUACAUUUCUCAUUGGGAAUUGUACCUUUACAUGAUGCAUCUUGGUUCUUAUUUUUUCCCCAUUCCUAGCCCUCCCUUCACCCCCUCCAUCCUUCCUUAUUUACUAAGACUUUAUUUCCAUUUUUUCCAUUUCUCAUUAUUUUUCCUUUCCCUUCUUUCCUUUCCCCUGCCCCUCCCACUACCCCUACCCCUUUAGACCUUUUCUUCCUAUUUUGCAUUCUCAAUUAUUCAUUCUAACAUUGAGGCCAUACUCUUAAGUGAAAUAAAUAGGACACACAUGUAUAAAUACCGAAUAGUUUCUCUGGUGUGAGAAACUGAAAGUGUAAAUAAGGACUAAAAGGUAUAAUAGGUAAUGUGAAAUAGGAAGAAAAGGGGCAAAGGGGAAGGAAGUGGGAGGGCUAGGGGAAAGGAAAGAAGGGAAUGGAAUUAAUAUGGGAAAAUGGAAAAAUAGGAACAAAAUCUUUGUAAAUAGGGAGGAAUAGAGGGGUUGAAGGGAAGGCAGGGGAAGGGUGAAAAAUAAGAACCAAGAGAGUAUGUAAAGGUGCAAAUUUCCAACAGUGAAUGCUAUUAUACUGUACACCUAAACUGUGCCAAAGAUUCGAAUGAAUAAUCACUAUUGGAUUUUGAGACAAGGCCUCAGUAAGUGCCAAGCUGCCCAGGCUGGGCUUGAACUCGCAAUCUUCCUGCCUCAGCCUCCCGGAGUGUUUUGCUUUUACAUUAUUUUCAGUUACUUCACGCUAUCAGAGGAGUGCAUUGGCUGCAAUUGAUACCAAGGAGAACUUGAAUAUUAAGUCUAGGCUAGGCAUAAACAUGCAUCUGGUUAUGAUUGGCCUUUCCUGCUCUCCACUUGCAUAAUUCAACUUGAUGCUGCAUACUUCUUUUUUCUUUUAUUCUAGUCCAUAUGGUGGCACAACAACCACCAAAAGGUGAAUACUUUCAGUGCCUUUCAUAUCAAAGCCACAGCUUUCACAUUCUGUUCUAUUGAUUCUGCCUUUUGGCAGUGAAUAAAGGUAUGCAGUUAAAGUCUGUGCCCAUAAUUGGUUUUAUUUGGGAAGGAUUUUCUUUUGAACUGGUGGCCACCCAUGCUUUUCUAAUUAUCAGAAAUUAAUUCACUCAGCAUUCCUUGUAGGAAAUACAGUUCACUUCCUUGCUUUUGGAAGAAAAAGAAAAGGAAAGAACUAAGGAGUAUUAGGGAACUGCGUCUUACUCACCGUGUUCCCCGGGGGCGCUGUAAUACGGUGCUAAAGCUCCACCUGUCUGCAGGCAAGCACACUCUCCAAUCUUUGCACCUUUUCAGAACUCUACCCAGAAGAAAACUUCAAAGCAUUUUAUUUUAUAAAAAGUGAGAUAGUUCCAGUGUAAAUUCUCUGACAGGACUUGACUCAUAAAAGUUACCGAUAAAGCAUGACAGCUUUCUGCAGGGUACUGUUACAUGCAUUGCAGUAUGAUUGGAAAGGCAGAGCACUCCAAACCUAAGUCCAAAACUGCCAGCAGAGAUGUCUUUGUUCAGUGGACGAGACACUGAAGAUAAAAUCUCCGCCAGGCCCCGCAUGAUGCCCAGGGAACGGUGCCAUCCGUCAAACCUCUCUUCCUGAUGGGCGUGAAAUGUUUUGGGGAACUUUAAAUUCUUUUUCAUUAUAUUACCAAGAAUGUAACUACAGACUUUUUACAAAAUAAUUAUGCAAGGAGUGGAAACCUUACUGUGUAUGUCUCAUAAAUAAAAGGUAGACAGAAACCCUGGCCCAAGCAGUACUUGAGGUUACUUACGAAUGAAGGAUUUGUUUGCCCCAUCUCUUCCCAAGCCCAGAGUAAUAAAUCUCAAAAGCUUCAAUAUUGAUUCAACAAAGUGAACGGCUGAGUCAUUUCAGAGACUCAGACAGGCAGACAAAUGCUGCCAUGGUGACAUUUGGAAAUGCAG